This 253-nucleotide ribosomal RNA is filed under the name uncultured bacterium. RNAcentral's name for it is "partial 16S ribosomal RNA". It matches the Rfam family "Bacterial small subunit ribosomal RNA", at positions 524 to 776 of the family's 1533-position model. The record is from RNAcentral.
UACGAAGGGUGCAAGCGUUACUCGGAAUUACUGGGCGUAAAGCGUGCGUAGGUGGUUCGUUAAGUCUGAUGUGAAAGCCCUGGGCUCAACCUGGGAAUGGCAUUGGAAACUGGCGACCUAGAGUGCGGUAGAGGGUAGUGGAAUUCCCGGUGUAGCAGUGAAAUGCGUAGAGAUCGGGAGGAACAUCUGUGGCGAAGGCGACUGCCUGGACCAGCACUGACACUGAGGCACGAAAGCGUGGGGGGCAAACAGG